Molecule: ribosomal RNA, 253 nt
Filed under: uncultured bacterium
Lineage: Bacteria
Description: partial 16S ribosomal RNA
Rfam family: Bacterial small subunit ribosomal RNA
Source: RNAcentral
UACGUAGGGGGCAAGCGUUGUCCGGAAUCAUUGGGCGUAAAGAGCGUGUAGGCGGCUCGGUAAGUCCGCUGUGAAAGUCCAGGGCUCAACCCUGGAAUGCCGGUGGAAACUGUCGAGCUAGAGUCCGGAAGAGGCGAGUGGAAUUCCUGGUGUAGCGGUGGAAUGCGCAGAUAUCAGGAGGAACACCGGUGGCGAAGGCGGGUCUCUGGGCAGUAACUGACGCUGAGACGCGAAAGCGUGGGGAGCAAACAGG